UCGGGAAUUUUGGGCAAUGGGGGAAACCCUGACCCAGCAACGCCGCGUGAAGGAUGAAGUAUUUCGGUAUGUAAACUUCGAAAGAAUAGGAAGAAUAAAUGACGGUACUAUUUAUAAGGUCCGGCUAACUACGUGCCAGCAGCCGCGGUAAUACGUAGGGACCAAGCGUUGUUCGGAUUUACUGGGCGUAAAGGGCGCGUAGGCGGCAUGACAAGUCACUUGUGAAAUCUCUGGGCUUAACCCAGAACGGCCAAGUGAUACUGUCGCGCUAGAGUGCAGAAGGGGCAAUCGGAAUUCUUGGUGUAGCGGUGAAAUGCGUAGAUAUCAAGAGGAACACCUGAGGUGAAGACGGGUUGCUGGGCUGACACUGACGCUGAGGCGCGAAAGCCAGGGGGAG
This 397-nucleotide ribosomal RNA is filed under the name uncultured bacterium. Its description in RNAcentral is "bacterial SSU rRNA". It matches the Rfam family "Bacterial small subunit ribosomal RNA", at positions 355 to 769 of the family's 1533-position model. The record is from RNAcentral.